AACGAACGCUGGCGGCAUGCCUAGCACAUGCAAGUCGAACGAGACCUUCGGGUCUAGUGGCGCACGGGUGCGUAACGCGUGGGAACCUGCCCUUAGGUUCGGAAUAACUCCCCGAAAGGGGUGCUAAUACCGGAUAAUGUCUUCGGACCAAAGAUUUAUCGCCUUUGGAUGGGCCCGCGUUGGAUUAGCUAGUUGGUAGGGUAAAAGCCUACCAAGGCGACGAUCCAUAGCUGGUCUGAGAGGAUGAUCAGCCACACUGGGACUGAGACCCGGCCCAAACUCCUACGGGAGGCAGCAGUGGGGAAUGUUGGACAAUGGGCGAAAGCCUGAUCCAGCAAUGCCGCGUGAGUGAUGAAGGCCUUAGGGUUGUAAAGCUCUUUUACCCGGGAUGAUAAUGACAGUACCGGGAGAAUAGGCUCCGGCUAACUCCGUG
This 433-nucleotide ribosomal RNA is filed under the name uncultured bacterium. RNAcentral describes it as "partial 16S ribosomal RNA". It matches the Rfam family "Bacterial small subunit ribosomal RNA", at positions 29 to 507 of the family's 1533-position model. The record is from RNAcentral.